Molecule: ribosomal RNA, 441 nt
Filed under: uncultured Bacillota bacterium
Lineage: Bacteria; Bacillati; Bacillota
Description: bacterial SSU rRNA
Rfam family: Bacterial small subunit ribosomal RNA
Source: RNAcentral
GGGCCCGCACAAGCAGCGGAGCAUGUGGUUUAAUUCGAAGCAACGCGAAGAACCUUACCAGGUCUUGACAUCCGAUUAAAACCGGUGAAAGCCGGUGUGCCUUUGGCGAAUCGAGACAGGUGGUGCAUGGUUGUCGUCAGCUCGUGUCGUGAGAUGUUGGGUUAAGUCCCGCAACGAGCGCAACCCUUACGGAUAGUUGCCAGCAAGUGAAGUUGGGCACUCUAUCGGGACUGCCGUGGAUAACACGGAGGAAGGUGGGGACGAUGUCAAAUCAUCAUGCCCUUUAUGACCUGGGCUACACACGUGCUACAAUGGCUGUGACAAAGAGCAGCGAAGUCGUAAGGCGGAGCGAAUCUACAAAAAGCAGUCUCAGUUCGGAUUGUGGGCUGCAACCCGCCCACAUGAAGUUGGAGUUGCUAGUAAUCGCGAAUCAGCAUGUCG